Molecule: RNase P RNA, 375 nt
Filed under: Frankiaceae bacterium
Lineage: Bacteria; Bacillati; Actinomycetota; Actinomycetes; Frankiales; Frankiaceae
Description: RNase P RNA component class A
Rfam family: Bacterial RNase P class A
About the family: Ribonuclease P (RNase P) is a ubiquitous endoribonuclease, found in archaea, bacteria and eukarya as well as chloroplasts and mitochondria. Its best characterised activity is the generation of mature 5'-ends of tRNAs by cleaving the 5'-leader elements of precursor-tRNAs.
Source: RNAcentral
CGAGUUGGUCGGACGGCCGCGUCGGCGCUUCGGCGUCGCCGAGGAAAGUCCGGGCUCCGAAGGGCAGGGUGGUCGGCAACACCGACCCGGGGUGACCCGCGGGAUCAGUGCCACAGAGAACAGACCGCCUGUCGGCUCCGGCCGGCAGGUAAGGGUGAAACGGUGGGGUAAGAGCCCACCAGCGCCCGAGGCGACUCGGGCGGCUAGGUAAACCCCACCCGGAGCAAGGUCAGACAGGAAGCGUCCGAGGGCGGCCCGCCCGAGCUUCCGGGUAGACCGCUAGAGGGUGUCGGCAACGGCACCCCGAGAUGGAUGGCCGUCAGGUCGGACCUCGGUCCGGCCUCACAGAACCCGGCUUACAGACCAACUCGUCCG